Sabethes cyaneus is the source of this 1245-nucleotide long non-coding RNA. RefSeq lists it as uncharacterized. The record is from RefSeq and is a predicted model, not a curated record. Lineage: Eukaryota; Metazoa; Arthropoda; Insecta; Diptera; Culicidae. The transcript is spliced from 3 exons.
UAAAAAUUGGUGAAAAUAAAAAUCAGAUAGAAAACUGUAAUAAAUUAAACCGUGAAAUAUUGUAAAAAAAACGUGAGGAAAAAUAGAUAGCAGAUUAGCAGGUUCCCUUAAAUCGAAGGUUCCAGGUUGGGGCACACGAAAUACACACAGAAGUGUCCACAACCCCGCGUGUCCGCCACGUGCGGCUUAAGCUGAUCGACGAUCCCAAAAGCGGUUCCUUCACCAUUCCGCUGAACACUUCUUUGAGCGCCGAACACUGCCUUAGGCGCGGAAAUCCGACGUUGGCACGGUCGGAACCUUCGGUGACGCGGUCUACGAACUACAACCCGUGUCUUCGUCUACGAAUCGAGCACUGCCAGCAUAGAUAUUACGACCAAGUGCACAACACCAUCGGCGAACCCCUCCGUUGCAAGAGGUGGAGUCAUCUAUCAUCCAGUACCGUUAUUCAUGCGCAUCGAUAGCUGGACAACAUGGUUCAUCCGCACCCCACCGACCCCAUGAACCACCACCGUGGUGAGUCGAAGGCCGAAUAGCGAACGGCAUGGUUAGUUAGAGGAAGAAGAGAAUUCGGGAAGCCGAGCUUAAGGCGCAAGAGUAGGCAGAUUCAUGAGAGAUUAAAAUGGGAAUCGAUCAUAUCUAAUAGCGAAUUCAUAAAUUAACCUGGGUUCGUGCUAACUCGAACCAGAAAUUUAUGAACGAUACGAGCAGUUUGACAGAUCGACCCGUAAACCGUAAUAAGGUUUUGCACGGGCGAGCAUAACCUCGCUUUUUUGACGUCUAUCAGUGGUUUGUUUACAUCGACUUAGAACGCGGGUUAAAAUGAUUAAAGUGAAUAUUGUUAAAGGCGUCUGCGGCAGGCCAGAAAAGCACAAAAACUGCUAUUCCGAGUAGUUUAGAGGGCGACACUGCUGGACAAUACGCUUUUAAAACGUUUAACUUUAGUUUAUGCAUAUUGUGUUUGCCUAACAAAUAGUAAACAAACCACGAGUGGAUGUCAAAUGGAUGAAUUGCGUUCAUUCGUGACGUCACCUUGCAAAACCUUAUGCUAGACAGUUUUAACCUGCGCUUCAAACUGAAUGCUGUCAGUUUAACCGAGAUGCAAUCUCGGUUAAUUAAUGAACGCUUUGACAGCACUUCGAUUAAAACUGAGUGCUAAUCGACCUGAGCCAGGUUAAUUUAUGAAUUCGCUAUAAGCUUCGUGUUAAUAACUUCGCGUUCCUUAUAUUUGCAUAUGUUUUUCCGAGU